GAUGAACGCUGGCGGCGUGCUUAACACAUGCAAGUCGAACGGAAAGGCCCAAGCUUGCUUGGGUACUCGAGUGGCGAACGGGUGAGUAACACGUGGGUGAUCUGCCCUGCACUUCGGGAUAAGCCUGGGAAACUGGGUCUAGUACCGGAUAGGACGAUGGUUUGGAUGCCAUUGUGGAAAGUUUUUUCGGUGUGGGAUGAGCUCGCGGCCUAUCAGCUUGUUGGUGGGGUAAUGGCCUACCAAGGCGUCGACGGGUAGCCGGCCUGAGAGGGUGUACGGCCACAUUGGGGCUGAGAUACGGCCCAGACUCCUACGGGAGGCAGCAGUGGGGAAUAUUGCACAAUGGGCGCAAGCCUGAUGCAGCGACGCCGCGUGGGGGAUGACGGCCUUCGGGUUGUAAACUCCUUUCGCUAGGGACGAAGCGUUUUUGUGACGGUACCUGGAGAAGAAGCACCGGCUAACUACGUG
Molecule: ribosomal RNA, 468 nt
Filed under: uncultured bacterium
Lineage: Bacteria
Description: partial 16S ribosomal RNA
Rfam family: Bacterial small subunit ribosomal RNA
Source: RNAcentral